RNAcentral lists this ribosomal RNA (487 nucleotides) under Anaplasma phagocytophilum. RNAcentral's name for it is "bacterial SSU rRNA". It matches the Rfam family "Bacterial small subunit ribosomal RNA", at positions 107 to 631 of the family's 1533-position model. The record is from RNAcentral. Lineage: Bacteria; Pseudomonadati; Pseudomonadota; Alphaproteobacteria; Rickettsiales; Anaplasmataceae.
UGGUAAUGCAUAGGAAUCUACCUAGUAGUAUGGGAUAGCCCUAGAAAUGGUGGGUAAUACUGUAUAAUCCCUGCGGGGGAAAGAUUUAUCGCUAUUAGAUGAGCCUAUGUUAGAUUAGCUAGUUGGUAGGGUAAAGGCCUACCAAGGCGAUGAUCUAUAGCUGGUCUGAGAGGAUGAUCAGCCACACUGGAACUGAGAUACGGUCCAGACUCCUACGGGAGGCAGCAGUGGGGAAUAUUGGACAAUGGGCGCAAGCCUGAUCCAGCUAUGCCGCGUGAGUGAGGAAGGCCUUAGGGUUGUAAAACUCUUUCAGUAGGGAAGAUAAUGACGGUACCUACAGAAGAAGUCCCGGCAAACUCCGUGCCAGCAGCCGCGGUAAUACGGAGGGGGCAAGCGUUGUUCGGAAUUAUUGGGCGUAAAGGGCAUGUAGGCGGUUCGGUAAGUUAAAGGUGAAAUGCCAGGGCUUAACCCUGGAGCUGCUUUUAAA